RNAcentral lists this ribosomal RNA (489 nucleotides) under uncultured bacterium. RNAcentral's name for it is "partial 16S ribosomal RNA". It matches the Rfam family "Bacterial small subunit ribosomal RNA", at positions 30 to 508 of the family's 1533-position model. The record is from RNAcentral. RNAcentral also lists the same sequence under 1 other name.
AUUGAACGCUGGCGGCAGGCCUAACACAUGCAAGUCGAACGGUAGCACAGAGAGCUUGCUCUCGGGUGACGAGUGGCGGACGGGUGAGUAAUGUCUGGGAAACUGCCUGAUGGAGGGGGAUAACUACUGGAAACGGUAGCUAAUACCGCAUAACGUCGCAAGACCAAAGAGGGGGACCUUCGGGCCUCUUGCCAUCAGAUGUGCCCAGAUGGGAUUAGCUAGUAGGUGGGGUAACGGCUCACCUAGGCGACGAUCCCUAGCUGGUCUGAGAGGAUGACCAGCCACACUGGAACUGAGACACGGUCCAGACUCCUACGGGAGGCAGCAGUGGGGAAUAUUGCACAAUGGGCGCAAGCCUGAUGCAGCCAUGCCGCGUGUAUGAAGAAGGCCUUCGGGUUGUAAAGUACUUUCAGCGGGGAGGAAGGCGAUAAGGUUAAUAACCUUGUCGAUUGACGUUACCCGCAGAAGAAGCACCGGCUAACUCCGUGC